UACGAAGGGGGCUAGCGUUGCUCGGAAUCACUGGGCGUAAAGGGUGCGUAGGCGGGUUUUUAAGUCAGAGGUGAGAUCCUGGAGCUCCACUCCAGAACUGCCUUUGAUACUGGGAAUCUUGAGUAUGGAAGAGGUGAGUGGAACUGCGAGUGUAGAGGUGAAAUUCGUAGAUAUUCGCAAGAACCCCAGUGGCGAAGGCGGCUCACUGGUCCAUAACUGACGCUGAGGCACGAAAGCGUGGCGAGCAAACAGG
Molecule: ribosomal RNA, 253 nt
Filed under: uncultured bacterium
Lineage: Bacteria
Description: partial 16S ribosomal RNA
Rfam family: Bacterial small subunit ribosomal RNA
Source: RNAcentral